This 72-nucleotide transfer RNA is filed under the name Diceratias pileatus. RNAcentral's name for it is "tRNA-Val". It matches the Rfam family "tRNA". From Rfam's summary of the family: Transfer RNA (tRNA) molecules are approximately 80 nucleotides in length. Their secondary structure includes four short double-helical elements and three loops (D, anti-codon, and T loops). Further hydrogen bonds mediate the characteristic L-shaped molecular structure. tRNAs have two regions of fundamental functional importance: the anti-codon, which is responsible for specific mRNA codon recognition, and the 3' end, to which the tRNAs corresponding amino acid is attached (by aminoacyl-tRNA synthetases). tRNAs cope with the degeneracy of the genetic code in two manners: having more than one tRNA (with a specific anti-codon) for a particular amino acid; and 'wobble' base-pairing, i.e. permitting non-standard base-pairing at the 3rd anti-codon position. Lineage: Eukaryota; Metazoa; Chordata; Actinopteri; Lophiiformes; Diceratiidae. The record is from RNAcentral.
CAGAACAUAGCUAAGACAGCAAAGCAUCUCCCUUACACUGAGAAGUCGCCCGUGCAAAUCGGGCUGCUCUGA